This 468-nucleotide ribosomal RNA is filed under the name uncultured bacterium. RNAcentral's name for it is "partial 16S ribosomal RNA". It matches the Rfam family "Bacterial small subunit ribosomal RNA", at positions 28 to 507 of the family's 1533-position model. The record is from RNAcentral.
GACGAACGCUGGCGGCGUGCUUAACACAUGCAAGUCGAACGGAAAGGCCCUGCUUUUGUGGGGUGCUCGAGUGGCGAACGGGUGAGUAACACGUGAGUAACCUGCCCUUGACUUUGGGAUAACUUCAGGAAACUGGGGCUAAUACCGGAUAGGAGCUCCUGCUGCAUGGUGGGGGUUGGAAAGUUUCGGCGGUUGGGGAUGGACUCGCGGCUUAUCAGCUUGUUGGUGGGGUAGUGGCUUACCAAGGCUUUGACGGGUAGCCGGCCUGAGAGGGUGACCGGCGACAUUGGGACUGAGAUACGGCCCAGACUCGUACGGGAGGCAGCAGUGGGGAAUAUUGCACAAUGGGCGGAAGCCUGAUGCAGCAACGCCGCGUGCGGGAUGACGGCCUUCGGGUUGUAAACCGCUUUCGCCUGUGACGAAGCGUGAGUGACGGUAAUGGGUAAAGAAGCACCGGCUAACUACGUG